AUUGAACGCUGGCGGCAUGCCUAACACAUGCAAGUCGAGCGAGCGGCGGACGGGUGAGUAAUGUAUGGGGACUUCCCGUUCGAGUGGGAUAACUCCUGGAAACGUUAGCUAAUACCCCAUACUAUCGGAUAACCCAUAUGGGAUUAGCUAGUAGGUGAGGUAAUGGCUGACCUAGGCGACGAUCCCUAGCUGGUCUGAGAGGAUGAUCAGCCACACGGGGACGGAGACACGGCCCAGACUCCUACGGAGGCAGCAGUGGGGAAUAUUGGACAAUGGGCGCAAGCAUGAUGCAGCCAGGCCGCGUGUAUGAAGAAGGCCCUAGGGUUGUAAAGUACUUUCAGUCGGGAGGCGUUACCGACAGAAGAAGCACCGGCUAACUCCGUGCCAGCAGCCGCGGUAAUUC
Molecule: ribosomal RNA, 403 nt
Filed under: uncultured bacterium
Lineage: Bacteria
Description: partial 16S ribosomal RNA
Rfam family: Bacterial small subunit ribosomal RNA
Source: RNAcentral